RNAcentral lists this ribosomal RNA (547 nucleotides) under uncultured bacterium. RNAcentral describes it as "bacterial SSU rRNA". It matches the Rfam family "Bacterial small subunit ribosomal RNA", at positions 355 to 896 of the family's 1533-position model. The record is from RNAcentral.
UAGGGAAUCUUCCGCAAUGGGCGAAAGCCUGACGGAGCAACGCCGCGUGAGUGAAGAAGGAUUUCGGUUCGUAAAGCUCUGCUGUUAGGGAAGAAUGAUUGUAUAGUAACUAUAUACAGUAGAGACGGUACCUAACCAGAAAGCCACGGCUAACUACGUGCCAGCAGCCGCGGUAAUACGUAGGUGGCAAGCGUUGUCCGGAAUUAUUGGGCGUAAAGCGCGCGCAGGUGGUUUAAUAAGUCUGAUGUGAAAGCCCACGGCUCAACCGUGGAGGGUCAUUGGAAACUGUUAAACUUGAGUGCAGGAGAGAAAAGUGGAAUUCCUAGUGUAGCGGUGAAAUGCGUCGAGAUUAGGAGGAACACCAGUGGCGAAGGCGGCUUUUUGGCCUGUAACUGACACUGAGGCGCGAAAGCGUGGGGAGCAAACAGGAUUAGAUACCCUGGUAGUCCACGCCGUAACGAUGAGUGCUAAGUGUUGGUCUCAUAAGAGAUCAGUGCUGCAGCUAACGCAUUAAGCACUCCGCCUGGGGAGUACGACCGCAAGGUUG